Molecule: non-coding RNA, 4317 nt
Organism: Dermacentor andersoni
Lineage: Eukaryota; Metazoa; Arthropoda; Arachnida; Ixodida; Ixodidae
Source: RefSeq, a predicted model, not a curated record
UGACUUAUUGUUUGCCUUUAGUGUCCCUUUAAUCAACUCAGCAACAGGAGGGAAGAAGCUGGUAGAAACAUUUAUGGGAAGAGAGCAGCAAACAGAAUGACGUUCAGAUUGAUUGCUUAUUUAGAUUGUCUAUUCAGUCAACAUUAAUACUGACAGUUGCCUUGACUAGGAAGCUUAUAGAAAAGGAUCAUAAAGGUAGAAUGGAGUUCAUACUGGUCAGAGCGCAUGAAAACUUGGAUGUGGGAAGAAAUUGAUGGGGCAAGCACUUGACCUGUCAAUUUCUUCCCUGGUUCAUGUUUCUGCACACUCUAAUGAAAAGGCACAAAUGCCUGAUAUUGUGUUAGCCCCUUUCUCAUCUCAUUAUAAUUCACACAUUGCUCAGACAGUAUAGGCAGCCUGAUAACAGUAAAUCAGUUCAGACAUGACUUUGACUGCAGUCAUUGUACAAAAGCAAAGGCAGGAAAUGUAUACAAAGCAUUCUGUUCAGAACUGAAAAAAAAAAGUCAUUUAUAUAAUAUACAAGCAGAUUGAUCAAUCAAAGUUUAUGGCAUUAGACUGCCUAACCUUAAUGGUAUAAAGCCAAGAGUCACUAUGUGUAUCAGCCAGCAGGAAAUGGACACUCAUUUCUUGAUGAAUAAAGAAUGUGUGCCUUUCUUUGAACCUUUAAAAAAGCCAAUGAUCCUUGGUUGACAGGGAUCUAAAAAUUAAAUUAUGGAGUUUUACGUGCCAAAACCACAAUCUCAUUAUGGGGCCCACCGUAGAGGGGGACUCCGGAAAUUUGGACCACCUGGGGUUCUUUAAUGUGCACCUAAAUCUAAGCACGGGAGUGUUUUGGCAUUUCGCCCCCAUCGAAAUGCUGCCGUCAUGGCCGGGAUUGAUCCCGUGACCUUGUGCUUAGCAGCCCAACACCAUAGCCACUAAGCAACCAUGGUGGGUUUGACAGGGAUGACGUCAGACAUACAAUUCAGAAAGUCUUGGAUUAUGUAGGAUUGUUCUUGUGGGCUGCAGCUUUUUUGUAUCACACUCUUAUUGUAAGUUGUGUGUUUCAUGUUUCACCUGUUUUCCUUGAGAAGCCUUUAUAAAAAGGUGUAUAUUGUAAUCUGAUUUUGAGGGUAUACAGUAGAACCAGGCCCAGCACACACUCAAGUUCCAGCAAUCGCCACAGAGGGUGAAAAAUCAUUCACGGCACAUUCCAGCAUGAAGCGCGUAAGUGUAGCUACUGUAAUUUGGUCGGACAUCUUAAUUCACAUUUUUUCUGUUAGGGGCGCUCAAUGUGGCUAAAUAUUUUAUCCAUAAAUGUACAUAUAAUAAGCAACAUACAUAGUUACCAUGUCAUUUUUUUUUUUUACAGAAUAAGUAGGCCAUGGUUUUUAUUAGACUUCUGUUAUUAAAGUAUCUGCUUUAUUACUUGAAUAAAGGUUUUGGGACUUCACUUACAUGCAACAAGCAGCAGCCCAUUGGUGUUGAUUGCAUUCUGGGCCGUUUAUCAAAUAAACUUGUACAGUGGUAAUAUUUGCGAACGGGGUGGUCGUUUCCUUUGAACAGCAUCACACAGGUUCGUUUUAAUUAGAUGACAAUAAUAUCUCUGCCAGUUUAUGCUUCCAACAUUCGAUAGCCGCCACCAAGUGAAUGUGUUUAAAGACGGUGAAUUUUAUCAGCUGCGGCGUUUCACUGGUGUAACGGCUGCACGGCUUCCAUCGUUAGUGAUCAGCUCCCCUGGCCAUGUAAUGACAUGUUUCUGGCAAGAAAUGUGCUGGCUAGCACGAAAAUUCAUCGCUGGAACCGAGCAGUCUUCUUGGAGACUACCCACGAAAGCGGAUUAACCUUGCAGCCUCUGCGCAUGUGCACCGCCUCCAAGACGCUGCUCAUGUUUGUUCACCUCUAUGGACUCUAUUGUGUCUGGACAUACAAGUCAACAGUGAAUGUAUCACCACUGGAAGUAACAUCAAGGGCCAGAAUCCUCACAAGGAAGAUGGACAAAAGAGAGGUUAUUGGUUUGCAAGCUGCCCAUGUCAAGCCAUAAGAAGCUAAACAGUCACCAUAAUGAUAACAGGUUGUCUUGAACUAUGUGCCUGACCAUGAAAUGUUCGCAAGGUUACGAGAUAGAGGGGUGUGAACCCUAUCAGGAAAGCUACAGUCAACAGUUUUGUACUGUACAGAGCGAGAAUGCUAAAAUUUGACAUACAAGCUUACUUGCUUUUAAGGUGGUUUUAUGACAAACAGAGAAGUUAACAUGUUUCUUUUUUAGUCAUUAUAGCCAUGAUGACCAGAACAGAAGCAAUGUAGCAAGCUCCUACUUGCUAAUGCACAAACUAUGUCAUCUGCUCUUUGCAAAUCAGCUUAGUGGGCAUAACCACCAAGUAUCACAUGCUGCCUCACAAUGUUAAUUUGCUGCAUGAAAGUGCAAAUAAUUUUAGAAUGAUCAAAACCGCUCAAUGCAAUUUUGAGGAAAUGAUACUUCAUGCUGACUGAAUCUCUGGCAGUCACUCUUACAUGGUUCAUGUACAGUUUGCACGUAAUCAAUAACAAGGCUAGCCCUGUACUGUAAGAUAAGAAAUAGCUAGAAAAGGCAAGCUCACAUAACCGGCCUACUCCACAUUUCACAAACAUGACAAAUCACUAAAAAGAAUUUUUCUUUCUCUUCAAACAGCAGAUGACAAAUCUGAGAACAGUGUGUUACCAAAAUGUUUUUUGAAGUAUACUUGGAGAAUAGCAAGUUUGGGUUAACAUUCAGCCAAUCAACAGUGAACGAGCAAGGGAAGCCUCAGCUUGGGAACUUGUUUUCAUCAUCGCUCUCACAGAUAUGUUUGCUUGUUGAAACGUUGGCUCCAGGCUGAGGCUUCCCUUGCUCACCUCUGUUACUCACUCGAAAUGUUCAUCUCCUUGCAACCUUGUUUGAAUACAUAAAGCAAACUUUUUUUUCACCAUGAAACCGUAAAUCAAAUUUUCAAAGAAUCUGUGAGCAUUAAUUGGGCUUGCUUAAAUGUUUAUUUAGUGUCCUUGUUUAUUCACACAAUUUUUGCAGAAUUUCUUGUAAGCACUGUUGUCUCCCUAAUGUUCCUUGCUUUCCUAUGAGUACUUGACUUGUGUCAGAGCCUUUAAUGCCGCAUGUGAACGCUAAAUGUGCCCCAGAAAUAUCAAUAGCAGACAAUAUGUGCUGUAAAAUUUAGCAUAACAUCUAUGUUUAUUUUUUUUUUAUUUUUUUCUUAUGCUACAUGCUUCUCGCCGAUGAAAAGAAUGGGACAUUGCAGCUCGAGCUUAUCAUUCUGACACUACAUCCUUGCCUAGAAGUUUUUCUUUCUUUUUUUAAUCUAGCUGGAAUUUUUUAACGCAGACAAUAUAUGUAUAUGAAACAUUGCAAGCAGCGCUGUAUGCAACUACAGUAUGGGGGUAGCCUAGCAUAAAUAUUGUUAUAUAAAGCUUUGUUCUCCCCGCUUUAGUGGCAUGCCGAACAUGAUGAAAUUUCGCUAGUUUUCAGCUUUCAAUUCCGUUAAAUAGAUGAAUAUCUGUGUUUCUGUAUGUUGUAAACUCGGUGACUGACUGCAUUAAGUCUACCUGACCUGUACGAAAAUUUUGGGCAUGUACUGCUUCAUUCACCAUUGACAAUAAACAAUGUAAGCUUACUUGGUUGAAGUGUUUCUCUUGCUUUGCCAGUUGAGGCCACUUGGUCACCUGGCGACAUAAUAAAGAUAUCGGUAAUCAUGUUAGAGUAUCGUACACAUAAAUACCGCCCCGACAGCGGUAAGAAAAUGCUCAAGACCAGCAAGCGAGCAGUGCACCCAGCCCCAUGAGCCGCUACCACAGUUGCUAUAAUGCUCACUACGUAAUGAUGAUGAUAUUAGUUUUGAUUUUGCCAGUGCCAUUUUUCGGUCAUAUACUCUAGUUUGUAAUGCCACCACUACUCUUACUUCCAUUGUACUGGGGAAGGUACAGUUUCCCUUCUCUAAGUAUUAUAGGUGUUGUGUGGUAGAACCUGGCUCAUAAGAUCCCAUUUCAAGAGCACGAAAACUGACCCAGUAGGCACUGGGCAGUUGUUGUAAGGCAGCAUGAGCUCACUGGCAAACAGCGCCGCGAAUGGCAGCAGUAAAAGCACUGGCAUGUGAUGCAGACGAUAGGACGAAGGGGUACAUGGCGCUUUCAGUGAUUUUGCACUGCUGUUUUUGAGGCCUAAUGAACUGGAAAAUGCAUUUUCAUGCAUCUGCCCUUAAGAAAUGUCGCUUGUAUGAGGCAGGUCACAUUCAUGACAUCAUGUGGUAUAUAAAGCAUAAAACAAAUGCAAAUUGCUAUGCAAAUGCACCCCGCAAACAAAGCUCACUG